AAAUGGGGGCCCCAUCCCAGGCCUAACAAAUCCAUAUUUGUCUUUCUACAAAACUCUGAGUGGUUCCUAUGUAUGUUACCACUUGCAAGAUGCUGACUCGUCCACAGGAACUGGGACUAUGAACUCUGCCUUCCUACAUAUACUUUUGGAUGAAAUGCCUGAGUUCCUAACCAGCACUGUGCUCUCCCCACCUGUCUUGGUUACCAGCCGCCUGCACCCUCCAUGUUGCUAAACUGAAGGGAUAAGUCUCAGCCCAGAACCCUAACAGCAGCAGUUGACACACUAGUUUCCAUCUUGAGGACACCUUUUCCCAGGUGGCUUGCAAUAGGCUGUGCUUUCUUUGGCUUUCCCUCUUACUGGCCACCCUGUUUCAAUAUUAUUUGCUGCUUCCUUGUUAUUUUCCCAACUUCUUAAUUUUGGAGGGUUUAGAAUUCAGUCCUUGGACACCUUGGAUAUCUGCACAUAUUCCUUUGUUGAUUUAUCUAGUUCCAUGGCUUUCUGUACCAUUUAUGCUGAUGACUUCCCUUCCUUAUCUUCAGGCUUACNNNNNNNNNNNNNNNNNNNNNNNNNNNNNNNUAACAGCCUACUUGAAAAGUCUACUUGGAUGUCUAAUAAGCAUCUCAGCCUUAACAUGCUUAAAAUGAAGGC
RNAcentral lists this long non-coding RNA (648 nucleotides) under Capra hircus (goat). Its description in RNAcentral is "lncRNA (ENSCHIG00010026300.1)". The record is from RNAcentral. Lineage: Eukaryota; Metazoa; Chordata; Mammalia; Artiodactyla; Bovidae.